GGCCUGGUAGCCAAGUAGUAAGGCAACUGUCUGCAAAACAGUUAUACGCGGGUGCGAUUCCCGCCCAGGCCUCAA
This 75-nucleotide transfer RNA is filed under the name Parcubacteria group bacterium. RNAcentral describes it as "tRNA-Cys". It matches the Rfam family "tRNA". Rfam says of the family: Transfer RNA (tRNA) molecules are approximately 80 nucleotides in length. Their secondary structure includes four short double-helical elements and three loops (D, anti-codon, and T loops). The record is from RNAcentral.